GAACGCAUUGGCCAGCGGCGUGCCCGGCGCGUGCUUGUGCUGCACGUAAUCGGUCGUCGACAGAUACAUCAGAUCGGGCCGGUCGCGUUCC
RNAcentral lists this transfer RNA (91 nucleotides) under Alphaproteobacteria bacterium MarineAlpha4_Bin1. RNAcentral's name for it is "tRNA-His". RNAcentral also lists the same sequence under 1 other name. The record is from RNAcentral. Lineage: Bacteria; Pseudomonadati; Pseudomonadota; Alphaproteobacteria.